Small nuclear RNA from Fukomys damarensis (Damara mole-rat), 185 nucleotides. Its record names the gene U2. It matches the Rfam family "U2 spliceosomal RNA". Rfam says of the family: U2 is a small nuclear RNA (snRNA) component of the spliceosome (involved in pre-mRNA splicing). Complementary binding between U2 snRNA (in an area lying towards the 5' end but 3' to hairpin I) and the branchpoint sequence (BPS) of the intron results the bulging out of an unpaired adenosine, on the BPS, which initiates a nucleophilic attack at the intronic 5' splice site, thus starting the first of two transesterification reactions that mediate splicing. NCBI's taxonomy places the organism in Eukaryota, Metazoa, Chordata, Mammalia, Rodentia, Bathyergidae. The record is from Ensembl.
AUAACUUCUUGACCUUUUGGCUAAGAUUAAAAUGUGGUGUUCUUAUCAGUUUAGUAUCUGAUGCAUCCUCUGUCCAAGGACAAUAUACUAAACGGGCGUUAGAAGCUGGGAGAUGGAAUAGGAGCUUGCUCCAUGUACUCUGAACAUCGAACUGGAGUUGCAGCGCUGGUAAAAGUGUAACCCAA